This 452-nucleotide RNase P RNA is filed under the name Neisseria animalis. Its description in RNAcentral is "Bacterial RNase P class A". It matches the Rfam family "Bacterial RNase P class A". Rfam says of the family: Ribonuclease P (RNase P) is a ubiquitous endoribonuclease, found in archaea, bacteria and eukarya as well as chloroplasts and mitochondria. Its best characterised activity is the generation of mature 5'-ends of tRNAs by cleaving the 5'-leader elements of precursor-tRNAs. Lineage: Bacteria; Pseudomonadati; Pseudomonadota; Betaproteobacteria; Neisseriales; Neisseriaceae. The record is from Rfam by way of RNAcentral.
CCGCUCGGACAGACAGUCGCUGCGUAUCGCGUAAGGCAUACGGGGAGGAAAGUCCGGGCUCCAAAGAGCAGAAUGCCGGCUAACGGCCGGGCGCGGUAACGCGACGGAAAGUGGAACAGAGAGCAGAACCGCCGAUGGUUCACGUUGCAGCCUUUUGAGUCAUUACAAGGCAGCCAACCGCAGGUUGUAUAGGCAGUACGGCACGGCUGGCGCAGUAGGGCGCAAAAGGCUGCAACGUGAGCACAGGUAAGGGUGAAAAGGUGCGGUAAGAGCGCACCGUGCGGCUGGUAACAGUCCGCAGCAGGCUAAACCCCAUUCGGAGCAAGACCAAACAGAACGCAUUGACGCUGCUCGCCGAGCGUUCGGGUAGGUUGCUGGAGCGUGCCGGUAACGGUUCGCCUAGAGGAAUGACUGUCCGACGACAGAACCCGGCUUAUCGUCUGAACGGUGUG